CACCUCUAGCAUUUCCAGUAUUAGAGGCACUGCCUGCCCAGUGACAUCUGUUUAAACGGCCGCGGUAUCCUAACCGUGCAAAGGUAGCAUAAUCACUUGUUCCCUAAAUAGGGACUUGUAUGAAUGGCCACACGAGGGUUUUACUGUCUCUUACUUCCAAUCAGUGAAAUUGACCUUCCCGUGAAGAGGCGGGAAUGACUAAAUAAGACGAGAAGACCCUAUAGGGCUUUAAUUAACUGAUUCACAAAAAACAACACGCAAACCUAACCUUCAGGGACAACAAAACUUUUGAUUGAAUCAGCAAUUUCGGUUGGGGUGACCUCGGAGAACAAAACAACUUCCGAGUGAUUUAAAUCCAGACUAACCAGUCAAAAUAUAUAAUCACUUAUUGAUCCAAACCAUUGAUCAACGGAACAAGUUACCCUAGGGAUAACAGCGCAAUCCUAUUCCAGAGUCCAUAUCGACAAUUAGGGUUUACGACCUCGAUGUUGGAUCAAGACAUCCUAAUGGUGUAACCGCUAUUAAGGGUUCGUUUGUUCAACGAUUAAAGUCUU
This 554-nucleotide ribosomal RNA is filed under the name Equus caballus (horse). RNAcentral's name for it is "partial large subunit ribosomal RNA". It matches the Rfam family "Bacterial large subunit ribosomal RNA", at positions 1816 to 2597 of the family's 2925-position model. Lineage: Eukaryota; Metazoa; Chordata; Mammalia; Perissodactyla; Equidae. The record is from RNAcentral.